GCGUGGGGUGCUAUACUGCAGUCGAGCGAAUCUGAGGGAGCUUGCUCCCAAAGAUUAGCGGCGGACGGGUGAGUAACACGUGGGUAACCUGCCUGUAAGAUUGGGAUAACUCCGGGAAACCGGAGCUAAUACCGGAUAACAUAUUGAACCGCAUGGUUCAAUAUUGAAAGAUGGUUUCGGCUAUCACUUACAGAUGGACCCGCGGCGCAUUAGCUAGUUGGUGAGGUAACGGCUCACCAAGGCGACGAUGCGUAGCCGACCUGAGAGGGUGAUCGGCCACACUGGGACUGAGACACGGCCCAGACUCCUACGGGAGGCAGCAGUAGGGAAUCUUCCGCAAUGGACGAAAGUCUGACGGAGCAACGCCGCGUGAGCGAAGAAGGCCUUCGGGUCGUAAAGCUCUGUUGUUAGGGAAGAACAAGUACGAGAGUAACUGCUCGUACCUUGACGGUACCUAACCAGAAAGCCACGGCUAACUACGUGCCAGCAGCCGCGGUAAUACGUAGGUGGCAAGCGUUGUCCGGAAUUAUUGGGCGUAAAGCGCGCGCAGGCGGUUUCUUAAGUCUGAUGUGAAAGCCCACGGCUCAACCGUGGAGGGUCAUUGGAAACUGGGGAACUUGAGUGCAGAAGAGGAGAGUGGAAUUCCACGUGUAGCGGGAAAUAUGUGCUAAAAAA
RNAcentral lists this ribosomal RNA (675 nucleotides) under Bacillus sp. EK-I93. RNAcentral describes it as "bacterial SSU rRNA". It matches the Rfam family "Bacterial small subunit ribosomal RNA", at positions 38 to 696 of the family's 1533-position model. Lineage: Bacteria; Bacillati; Bacillota; Bacilli; Caryophanales; Bacillaceae. The record is from RNAcentral.